Molecule: long non-coding RNA, 3605 nt
Filed under: Olea europaea subsp. europaea
Lineage: Eukaryota; Viridiplantae; Streptophyta; Magnoliopsida; Lamiales; Oleaceae
Source: RNAcentral
GUUCAUCAAAAACACACUAGCUUCGGCCUUAUCACUUUUUGUAAAGUGUUUUUUAAUUUUAUCAAGAAAUUCCUUGAUAGUGGUUACCUUAUCAGACACAGUACCCCCGAAUGAUUCUGAAACACAACAUUUCACAAUCAUAAGACUCAUGCAGUUUGAACGAGCCCACUUAUCAAAGUCUCCCCUUUUUAUUAGCGAAAUUUUUAUCUAUAAAUGCAGCGGGUUGUUCAGUCCUUAACGCAAGGUUUAAGUCCAUGCUACCAGGAACAAUCUAAACAUUCUCCUUUUAGUCUUUAAAGUUGGUUCCAUUCAGCACAGGAAUGAGUUGAUGUUGGCAAAUAUUGUAGAAGAUGAAGAGUUAACUGAAUAGAGAAUAAAAUCAAAGAAAUGUGUCCACGUUAAAAUCCGUAUUAAGCAAUUAAUAAAUUCAAAUAAUGGUGAACUCCCCACCACAAGAUACCUAGCACAAUAUUGACAUUAAGUCUUUGGCCAGAAAUACCAACUUCUAAGUGGUGCUCUUGGCGUAAUAACCAAAUAUUGAUAAUAAACUAUGUCAAAUAAUAAACCUAUCUUUGGACCGAUCUAUUGUUUACAUUAAGGAAACCGUACAAUUGUCGGACAUUUAUUAUCACAUGUGUAUAUAAUUUGGUCAAACAUUUAGGCCCUAUUCUCUUUAUUAUUUUCGGGCCGUUUUCUGUUUUUAAUUUUUCAAAACGGUGAAAACGCCUUCUCUUUUUCAUUUUCGAAAAAGAAUUUUUGAAAACAAAAAAAAAUGUGAAGGAAACUCAAAACGUCAAAACAGACGUUUUGAGUGUUUUGAGGCAAAAAAACGCUGCAAAUCCAAAACAUGGGAAACGACCUUUCUUCCAUUACCCCCAACCUAAAUACGGAGACAAAAUGAAAUCUUGGCCCCUUUCUCCUCUUUCUUCUUCCUCUUCCUCUUCUUCAAUCUUUGGAUAGGAGGCAGAGCCCCUUCACCUGCGCGUCUCCAAAUUCCCAACCCAGCACUAUAUUUAUUUUUAUUUUCCCUGUUCCGUUAAUUGCACCCGUUAAGCGAUCAGAAUUCUUAAGAACUAUUUUUCUUAAAUGGCAUCCAAAUUCGGGUUAGCGGGUGGCAUUCCGGGACGGCGGGUCCGACCCAUUUGGGAUGCCAUCGAUUCUCACUAGUUCAAGAACGCCCUCAAGCACUCCGCGAGUCUUCUCUCCAAAUACCCAAAUAAUCCCCGUGCUCUUGUAAGUUUGUCAGCCCAUCCCCGCUUAUUUUCUUUUUAGUUUCAUUUUCUUCAUUAUUUAUUUGUGAUAGGUAAACGUGAAUGUUGGUGAUCAGUAUUCAAAUUAUGAUUGCACAUAUUCCAUUCUUUGGAUAGUAUUGAUGUUAAAUAUUGGAAAUUUUACUCACGUCUUGGGCGUAUAGAUGGCAAAUGUUGUUGUGGUUUUAUUAGAUCACAUGUCAAUGAUAAGCCUGAUUUUAUCGUGCUAUAUUUAUCAUUAAAUGAUACAUAUGUAACUUCUGAAUCGACAUCCAGUUUGUCAUUUGCCAGGGUCCUAAUUGGUAAGUCUAAUCACGUGGUGGCGUUAUACAGGGAAAAUGGAAGUAUUGGAAUAUAUGAUGCAUUGCGUUGAUUUCUGAUUUAUAUAUACAAGUUAGUACUUGGAUACCAGAUUAGUCGCAAGUCAGUGAUUGAGUCAAUAAUAAGCUCAUCAUUGAUAUUCAUGGACCAAAGCCGAACAACUUUAGAUAAUAAGUUCCUAACAGAUCCCGGAAUUACUCCUAAUGAAAGCACAAACCUUGUAAUGCUCCUCUAGGCUGGUUUUGUUUUCCGUCUAUUUUCUAUAUGCCCAAAUGAAGCUAGGCUUUUCUUCUUUAUAUGUUGUACUUGGCUCCUCCAGGCCCUCCCCUCUUCGUUGCAUGUGAUUUGUUGAAUGAGAUGAAGAAGAUGGAUUGGGUUCCUUCUGAGGGUACAAUUACAAAUGUGAUUAUUACAUGUGUGAAGCAGAGGAAUAACUGAGGCGUUAAAGCUUAAGGAUGAGAUGAUAAGUAGGGGAUAUACGAUCAAUUUGGUUGUUGCUACAAGCUUGAUGAAAGGGUACUGUCAGCUAGGAGAUUUAAACAGUGCUUUAGAAUUGUUCGAUAAGCUUGAUUCUUGGAAACUGUAGGAAAGGGAACAUGGAUAUAGCAUUAGACUUACUAUGCAAGAUGCUACAAAAGAACUUGAAGGCUAAUCUCGUCACAUAUGGUAUAUUGAUAGAAGGAUAUUUCAAGAUAGAUGGAUAACACAUAUAUGUGAUUUGGAAUGCCGUGCUGUGAUUUGGCAUAACUUGUUUAAAAUUCUGCUUCUUUUUAAAGUUUAUUUUUAAUGUUAGCCAAGUGAUAAUUCAAAUUGUGAAAUUAACGUGUGUCCACAGCAAUCAACUCAUGGCAGCCUUGCAUGUUAGGAUGAUGUAAUUCACAUCACUAAAUGAUCAGGAAUGUCUUUUAUUUCAAUUGGUAAAGUCGGUGUAAUAUAGUGCUAAUAAUUCAUUAGAGGGCUAAGGUCCCUUGGUAUGAGGAUUGCCAACUUGAAUCAUGUUGCAUGACUUAGCUUAUAGUAAACUAAUUACUCUAUUUUUUGGAAUGUUUAAUGGCAUGAUGAUGCUAUGUGUCCACAUAAGUGACCUUUGUUUGCAAGUGAUGAAUGAGAUGUGAUUUUUCAUUGAAUGGUGUCUUGUAUGUGAUAAAUGGAACGUCUUUUAUUAUUAUUAUUAUUAUUAUUAUUAUUAUUAUUAUUAUUAUUAUUAUUAUUAUUAUUUAUUUAUUUAUUUAUUUAUUUUGUGCUUUGGAAAUGUGUCUUAUUUUCUACUGCAUCAAUUUCAUAUCUAGCAGGCUCAUCAUAAUAGCAAAACAAUGUCUAGAAGGCCCACUUCCACUCGUCACCUUACAGACAGUGGGAGCAAUCCAUUUGUGGGUUCAUUGCAUCCCAAAUCAUGCCCAUCUCCUCUAUUAUCUAUAGGGCAUCUUUCUGUGGUAAGAGGUGGUGUCGUUAUCUUGACUGGUAGGAGGUGGUGUCGUUGGCAGGGUUGCCAAUCACAAACCUAUGUUGGACACAUUAUCAGUGCUGGAAAAUAAUGAUCUAGGAUUCCUCUUAUCUUCUAGUAUCUACGUUAGCACACAUGAUUAGAUACUGGAACACUUGUAUCUUUAAUGUGAGUUUACCGAAUUGUUUAUUAUGAUUUGAUCUCAAAUUAAUUAAUUUCGAUCAGGGAAGGGCAGCAUAGAUUUCUCUUGAUGCCGGCCUUGUAUGUGAAUUUCACGACCAGUUGAGCACGGAAAAAUGAGUAAAUUUAAUGUGCUAAUAUAAAUUGAAGACAUCUCUGCAUCCAAUUGAGUGAUUGAUGAGCACUUAGAGAAUGCAGUCAUGUCAUAUUCAUUUAGACUUGGUAGGUUUAAGUCGUUUUAUGUUGUAUUUAUACUUCCACAAGCUUACAAUUUUCCCUUUCAAGAUGUUUGAUAUUAGUAAUCUUACGCUCAAAUUCUCAUUUAUGAUGUCUAUAUUGUGAAUUGGUUUUCCUAUUAGAUCAUCUUUUCAAUAAUUAUUCUGCAAUUACCAAGUAGAGUCUCAUUCGCC